This 425-nucleotide ribosomal RNA is filed under the name uncultured bacterium. Its description in RNAcentral is "bacterial SSU rRNA". It matches the Rfam family "Bacterial small subunit ribosomal RNA", at positions 31 to 453 of the family's 1533-position model. The record is from RNAcentral.
AAAGGAACGCUGGUGGCAGACCUAACACAUGCAAAGUCGAACGGGUCUAUAUUAAACUUCGGUUUUUUAUAGAUAGUGGCAAACGGGUGAGUAAAGCAUGGGAAUCUACCUAGAAGUUUGGAAUAGCUAUUAGAAAUGAUAGAUAAUACCAAAUACAACCUCGAGAGGGAAAAGUUGACUUCGGUCUUCGCUUUUAGAUGAGCCCAUGUUAAAUAGUUAGUUGUAGGUAAUGGCCUACCAAGAUGAUGAUUUAUAGCUGGUCUUAGAGGAUGAUCAGCCACACUGGAAUUGAGAUACGGGUCCACGACUCCUACGGGAGGCAGCAGUGGGGAAUAUUGGACAAUGGGCGCAAGCCUGAUCCAGUCAUGCCACGUGAGUGAUGAAGGUCUUAGGAUUGUAAAACUCUUUUAGCAGGGAAAAAAAUG